This 1316-nucleotide ribosomal RNA is filed under the name uncultured bacterium. RNAcentral describes it as "bacterial SSU rRNA". It matches the Rfam family "Bacterial small subunit ribosomal RNA", at positions 97 to 1401 of the family's 1533-position model. The record is from RNAcentral.
GGCGAACGGGUGAGUAACACGUAGGGAACCUGCCCGCGCACCGGGAAUACGCUCUGGAAACGGAGAACAAAUCCCGAUGUACAGGAAGGAGGCAUCUUCUUUCUGUGAAACAUCCUUUAGGGGAUGGGGCGCGGAUGGACCUGCGGUGCAUUAGUUGGUUGGCGGGGUAAAGGCCCACCAAGACGAUGAUGCAUAGCCGGCCUGAGAGGGCGGACGGCCACAUUGGGACUGAGACACGGCCCAGACUCCUGCGGGAGGCAGCAGUAGGGGAUUUUCGUCAAUGGGCGCAAGCCUGAACGAGCGAUGCCGCGUGAGUGAAGAAGGCCUUCGGGUCGUAAAGCUCUGUUGCGGGGGAAAAAAGGCAGCAUCAGGAAAUGGGUGCUGACUGAUGGUGCCCCGCCAGAAAGUCACGGCUAACUACGUGCCAGCAGCCGCGGUAAUACGGAGGAUGCGAGCGUUAUCCGGAUUUAUUGGGUUUAAAGGGUGCGUAGGCGGGAUGCCAAGUCAGCGGUAAAAAAGCGGUGCUCAACGCCGUCGAGCCGUUGAAACUGGCGUUCUUGAGUGGGCGAGAAGUAUGCGGAAUGCGUGGUGUAGCGGUGAAAUGCAUAGAUAUCACGCAGAACUCCGAUUGCGAAGGCAGCAUACCGGCGCCCUACUGACGCUGAGGCACGAAAGCGUGGGUAUCGAACAGGAUUAGAUACCCUGGUAGUCCACGCAGUAAACGAUGAAUGCUAACUGUCCCGUGCGAAUGAGCGCUGGGGCGGACAGCGAAAGCGUUAAACAUUCCCCCGGGGGAGUACGCCGGCAACGGUGAAACUCAAAAGGAAUUGACGGGGGCCCGCACAAGCGGAGGAACAUGUGGUUUAAUUCGAUGAUACGCGAGGAACCUUACCCGGGCUCAAACGCAGGCUGACGGGUCCCGAAAGGGGCCUUUCUUCGGACAUUCUGCGAGGUGCUGCAUGGUUGUCGUCAGCUCGUGCCGUGAGGUGUCGGCUUAAGUGCCAUAACGAGCGCAACCCCUGUCCACAGUUGCCGGCAGGUAAAGCUGGGGACUCUGUGGAGACUGCCGGCGCAAGCUGCGAGGAAGGCGGGGAUGACGUCAAAUCAGCACGGCCCUCACGUCCGGGGCGACACACGUGUUACAAUGGCAGGUACAGCGGGAUGCCACGGGGCGACCCGGCGCUGAACCCGAAAACCUGUCUCAGUUCGGAUUGGAGUCUGCAACCCGACUCCAUGAAGCUGGAUUCGCUAGUAAUCGCGCAUCAGCCACGGCGCGGUGAAUACGUUCCCGGGCCUUGUACUCACAAACCGUCAAG